This 253-nucleotide ribosomal RNA is filed under the name uncultured bacterium. RNAcentral's name for it is "partial 16S ribosomal RNA". It matches the Rfam family "Bacterial small subunit ribosomal RNA", at positions 524 to 776 of the family's 1533-position model. The record is from RNAcentral.
UACAGAGGUCUCAAGCGUUGUUCGGAUUCAUUGGGCGUAAAGCGUGUGUAGGCGGCGGCCUAAGUACCUUGUGAAAUCCCACGGCUCACCCGUGGAACUGCUCGGUAUACUGGGUCGCUUGAGCCACUUAGGGGCUACCGGAACAAAUGGUGGAGCGGUGAAAUGCGUAGAUAUCAUUUGGAACGCCAAUGGUGAAAACAGGUAGCUGGGAGUGUGCUGACGCUGAGACACGAAAGCCAGGGGAGCAAACGGG